UACAUGGCAAGUCGAACGCUUCUUUCCUCCCGAGUGCUUGCACUCAAUUGGAAAGAGGAGUGGCGGACGGGUGAGUAACACGUGGGUAACCUACCCAUCAGAGGGGGAUAACACUUGGAAACAGGUGCUAAUACCGCAUAACAGUUUAUGCCGCAUGGCAUAAGAGUGAAAGGCGCUUUCGGGUGUCGCUGAUGGAUGGACCCGCGGUGCAUUAGCUAGUUGGUGAGGUAACGGCUCACCAAGGCCACGAUGCAUAGCCGACCUGAGAGGGUGAUCGGCCACACUGGGACUGAGACACGGCCCAGACUCCUACGGGAGGCAGCAGUAGGGAAUCUUCGGCAAUGGACGAAAGUCUGACCGAGCAACGCCGCGUGAGUGAAGAAGGUUUUCGGAUCGUAAAACUCUGUUGUUAGAGAAGAACAAGGACGUUAGUAACUGAACGUCCCCUGACGGUAUCUAACCAGAAAGCCACGGCUAACUACGUGCCAGCAGCCGCGGUAAUACGUAGGUGGCAAGCGUUGUCCGGAUUUAUUGGGCGUAAAGCGAGCGCAGGCGGUUUCUUAAGUCUGAUGUGAAAGCCCCCGGCUCAACCGGGGAGGGUCAUUGGAAACUGGGAGACUUGAGUGCAGAAGAGGAGAGUGGAAUUCCAUGUGUAGCGGUGAAAUGCGUAGAUAUAUGGAGGAACACCAGUGGCGAAGGCGGCUCUCUGGUCUGUAACUGACGCUGAGGCUCGAAAGCGUGGGGAGCAAACAGGAUUAGAUACCCUGGUAGUCCACGCCGUAGACGAUGAGUGCUAAGUGUUGGAGGGUUUCCGCCCUUCAGUGCUGCAGCAAACGCAUUAAGCACUCCGCCUGGGGAGUACGACCGCAAGGUUGAAACUCAAAGGAAUUGACGGGGGCCCGCACAAGCGGUGGAGCAUGUGGUUUAAUUCGAAGCAACGCGAAGAACCUUACCAGGUCUUGACAUCCUUUGACCACUCUAGAGAUAGAGCUUUCCCUUCGGGGACAAGUGACAGGUGGUGCAUGGUUGUCGUCAGCUCGUGUCGUGAGAUGUUGGGUUAAGUCCCGCAACGAGCGCAACCCUUAUUGUUAGUUGCCAUCAUUAGUUGGCACUCUACCGAGACUGCCGGUGACAACCGGAGGAAGGUGGGAUGACGUCAAUCAUCAGCCCCUUUGACCGGGGCACCCCGUGCUACAUGGGAAAUCAACAAUCCCUAGACCCGAGGUCUGCAAUCCUUAAACUUCCCCAUUCGAAUGGAGGGGCACUCCCCGCGGAAACCGAAUCCUGUAAUCCGGAAAACCCCCCGCGGAAAAAUUUCCGGGCUU
This 1325-nucleotide ribosomal RNA is filed under the name Enterococcus faecalis. RNAcentral's name for it is "bacterial SSU rRNA". It matches the Rfam family "Bacterial small subunit ribosomal RNA", at positions 52 to 1381 of the family's 1533-position model. The record is from RNAcentral. Lineage: Bacteria; Bacillati; Bacillota; Bacilli; Lactobacillales; Enterococcaceae.